AUUGAACGCUGGUGGCAGGCUUAACACAUGCAAGUCGAACGGUAACAGGAAUUAGCUUGCUAAUUUGCUGACGAGUGGCGGACGGGUGAGUAAUGCUUGGGAAUCUGGCUUAUGGAGGGGAUAACUACGGGAAACUGUAGCUAAUACCGCGUAAAAUCUUCGGAUUAAAGGGUGGGACUUUCGAGCCACCUGCCAUAAGAUGAGCCCAAGUGGGAUUAGGUAGUUGGUUAGGUAAAGGCUGACCAAGCCGACGAUCUCUAGCUGGUCUGAGAGGAUGACCAGCCACACUGGAACUGAGACACGGUCCAGACUCCUACGGGAGGCAGCAGUGGGGAAUAUUGCACAAUGGGGGGAACCCUGAUGCAGCCAUGCCGCGUGAAUGAAGAAGGCCUUCGGGUUGUAAAGUUCUUUCGGUGACGAGGAAGGUUGAUAGGUUAAUAGCCUAUCAAAUUGACGUUAAUCACAGAAGAAGCACCGGCUAACUCCGUG
RNAcentral lists this ribosomal RNA (489 nucleotides) under uncultured bacterium. RNAcentral's name for it is "partial 16S ribosomal RNA". It matches the Rfam family "Bacterial small subunit ribosomal RNA", at positions 30 to 507 of the family's 1533-position model. The record is from RNAcentral.